UACGUAGGGUGCGAGCGUUAAUCGGAAUUACUGGGCGUAAAGCGUGCGCAGGCGGUGAUGUAAGACAGGUGUGAAAUCCCCGGGCUUAACCUGGGAACUGCAUUUGUGACUGCAUCGCUGGAGUGCGGAAGAGGGGGAUGGAAUUCCGCGUGUAGCAGUGAAAUGCGUAGAUAUGCGGAGGAACACCGAUGGCGAAGGCGGCGACCUGGUCCGAUACUGACGCUGAGGCGCGAAAGCGUGGGGAGCAAACAGG
RNAcentral lists this ribosomal RNA (253 nucleotides) under uncultured bacterium. RNAcentral describes it as "partial 16S ribosomal RNA". It matches the Rfam family "Bacterial small subunit ribosomal RNA", at positions 524 to 776 of the family's 1533-position model. The record is from RNAcentral.